RNAcentral lists this ribosomal RNA (206 nucleotides) under uncultured bacterium. Its description in RNAcentral is "partial 16S ribosomal RNA". It matches the Rfam family "Bacterial small subunit ribosomal RNA", at positions 568 to 774 of the family's 1533-position model. The record is from RNAcentral.
UGCGUAGGCGGUCUUUCAAGUCAGGAGUGAAAGGCUACGGCUCAACCGUAGUAAGCUCUUGAAACUGGGAGACUUGAGUGCAGGAGAGGAGAGUGGAAUUCCUAGUGUAGCGGUGAAAUGCGUAGAUAUUAGGAGGAACACCAGUAGCGAAGGCGGCUCUCUGGACUGUAACUGACGCUGAGGCACGAAAGCGUGGGGAGCGAACA